CUAAUUGGUGAAGACCUGCAUUAUAUAAACAGCAGUUCAUACGAUGAUCCGAAUAUUUUUAUCACACGAAUAGAAAAUGAAAAUAUAUACAAAUUAGACAUCAAAAUCCAAUAAUAUUGUCGAAGUCGACAUUACAACGAAGCUCUCAACUUUCUUGAACAGAUGUCACUACUUAUGACUUAUACGAUCAUGUGACCUGACAUCCCACUGUCCAGUCGCCCCAAGUCUACUCGAUGGAAAGUAGCGAAGACGAAUUCUGAGCACGUCUCGCGAUGUUUCUCCCCGAGGAGGAACUCGAGGUUGUAGGACGUUACUCUGCGUCGGAUGUUGCAGCCAAAAGUUACAGUAACUGCAUUCUUCGACUUCAAUAGACUGGCUCGGCCAGAAUAUCCUGGAGCGGACUGAUGUCCUUCUCUAUCCAUGAAGCGCGGUUCUACCAAACGCAGCAAAAGUGACGCGGCCUUGGAUCCCGAUACGGACUGUGUUUGAAGCAGAACACCCUAAGGACAGCUGAGACCCGGGAUGAAAAGAGGGUCGAAGCGAGGUCGGUGGUGGGGGGGGAUCCGGCAUGGUUAAAACGUAGAAGGAAAGAGCAGCGACGCAGUGGGGAGGGUUCGGUGGGUGCAAAGCACGCCGGCGCCUCAGUAUCGUCGCGACCAUCGUGGGAGUCGGUUCGUGAGUGCGUCUCCAUUCGCGUCGCGGAACAAACGCUCGGCAAGACCGGAGCAUUCUCUUUGAUCCAGGUAAACUGGUACCCGUGUCGAGUCGUGGAUCCGAAGAUUCGUAACGAUGGUCCCGCGUUCGUUCGACGACGAGGGCUAGCCUUGCCCUUGAAACAAGAGUUUCGAGUGGCCGGCGCACGACGACGUUUCACCAGCUGUGCGCCGGACUCCGCGUGUGUGCUGUGCUCGGCGACGUUUUCUUUUCUCGCGUGCGAGCACCUCCCGUCGGUCGGUACUCGUGACAAAAGUAGACCGUCAUCGUGCAAUCAUUCUCUUAACGUGUCACUCAGCUUGUUUCGAUUUGGUGGUUAUUACUACGUAUUGUGAGAAUCCCACUUGGCGGCGGGGAUUGGAACAAAGGGACACGGAGGAGCCAGCGGUCGGUCGUGAGAGCAACAGAGGUGGGAGAGAGACAGCGUGGUGUAUCGAUCGAACUUCCAGUUGACAUUCGUCUGGCAAGUGGGAACAGAGUGGACUAUUCUGUAACCGUGAG
Long non-coding RNA from Ceratina calcarata, 1215 nucleotides. RefSeq lists it as uncharacterized. Lineage: Eukaryota; Metazoa; Arthropoda; Insecta; Hymenoptera; Apidae. The record is from RefSeq and is a predicted model, not a curated record. The transcript has 5 exons.